This 301-nucleotide ribosomal RNA is filed under the name uncultured bacterium. RNAcentral describes it as "partial 16S ribosomal RNA". It matches the Rfam family "Bacterial small subunit ribosomal RNA", at positions 509 to 807 of the family's 1533-position model. The record is from RNAcentral.
CAGCCGCCGCGGGAAUACGAAGGGUGCAAGCGUUGAUCGGAAUUACUGGGCGUAAAGCGUGCGUAGGCGGUGAGUUAAGUCUGCUGUGAAAUCCCCGGGCUCAACCUGGGAAUGGCAGUGGAUACUGGCUCGCUAGAGUGUGUCAGAGGAUGGUGGAAUUCCCGGUGUAGCGGUGAAAUGCGUAGAGAUCGGGAGGAACAUCAGUGGCGAAGGCGGCCAUCUGGGACAACACUGACGCUGAGGCACGAAAGCGUGGGGAGCAAGCAGGAUUAGAUACCCCUGUAGUCCCUGUCUCUUAUAC